This 121-nucleotide small RNA is filed under the name uncultured Tissierella sp. RNAcentral describes it as "ydaO/yuaA leader". It matches the Rfam family "c-di-AMP riboswitch aptamer (ydaO/yuaA leader)". From Rfam's summary of the family: This family represents a conserved RNA structure found upstream of the ydaO and yuaA genes in Bacillus subtilis and related genes in other bacteria. The ydaO/yuaA element is thought to act as a genetic "off" switch for the ydaO and yuaA genes in its native state. It is believed that the element may be triggered during osmotic shock leading to activation of ydaO, a predicted amino acid transporter gene, and members of the yuaA-yubG operon which code for KtrA and KtrB K+ transporters. Lineage: Bacteria; Bacillati; Bacillota; Tissierellia; Tissierellales; Tissierellaceae. The record is from RNAcentral.
AAUAAUCGCUGAAUUCGCUUUUGAAGCGGGGGAACCAAUAUUUUGGGGUGAAUCCUUUAGAGGACGGGCAUAACCCUUUAGCCCGAACCCGACAGCUAACCUCGUAAGCGUAUUAAAGGGG